AACUGAACAUACUGUGGGGACGAAAGUCUCUGCUUUUAACUAGAUAGCAACUUUCAGCAGUGGAUGUCUAGGCUCGCACAUCGAUGAAGAACGCUGCGAACUGCGAUACGUAAUGCGAAUUGCAGGAUUCAGUGAGUCAUCGAAAUUUUGAACGCAUAUUGCACUUCCGGGUUAUGCCUGGGAGUAUGCCUGUAUCAGUGUCCGUACAUCAACCUUGGCUUCCUUCCUUCCGUGUAGUCGGUGGAUGGGAACGCCAGACGUGAAGUGUCUUG
RNAcentral lists this ribosomal RNA (272 nucleotides) under Phytophthora sp. 1670-08. Its description in RNAcentral is "5.8S ribosomal RNA". The stretch from base 49 to 203 matches the Rfam family "5.8S ribosomal RNA". From Rfam's summary of the family: 5.8S ribosomal RNA (5.8S rRNA) is a component of the large subunit of the eukaryotic ribosome. It is transcribed by RNA polymerase I as part of the 45S precursor that also contains 18S and 28S rRNA. The record is from RNAcentral. Lineage: Eukaryota; Oomycota; Peronosporomycetes; Peronosporales; Peronosporaceae.